UUUCCGUAGGUGAACCUGCGGAGGGAUCAUUACUGAGUGAUGGCCCCCUACGUACAACCUCCCACCCGUGUUUAUUCCACCUUUUUGCUUCGGUGAGCCCGCCUCACGGCCGCCGGGGGGCAGCUGCCCCCGGGCCCGCGCCCGCCGAAGACACCCUUUAACUCUAUCUGCAGUUCGUAGUCUGUGCCAAAAAUAAACAAGUUAAAACUUUCAACAACGGAUCUCUUGGUUCUG
RNAcentral lists this unclassified non-coding RNA (234 nucleotides) under plant metagenome. RNAcentral describes it as "partial contains small subunit ribosomal RNA, internal transcribed spacer 1, and 5.8S ribosomal RNA". The record is from RNAcentral.